Molecule: long non-coding RNA, 288 nt
Organism: Anoplophora glabripennis (Asian longhorned beetle)
Lineage: Eukaryota; Metazoa; Arthropoda; Insecta; Coleoptera; Cerambycidae
Exons: 2
Source: RefSeq, a predicted model, not a curated record
AACAGUCAUUGCACUUGCCGCAACAAAAACCAGAAAAUAUAUCCACAUGUUCAUCGUCAUCGACACUGAGUGCUCAAUCAGGCUUGUUAUCUACUACAAAUAAGGCUACAGAUCUUUCUGAAAUAUAUUUGAAAUUUGGUGACACAUCACCAAAACAUUGAUCAACUUUAACUGCAUCAGAAAUAGGAAUGGAUUCACCCAAUCGUAAUAAAAUUAUAAACGUGAAGAAAAGGCCUUAUCCACGAUAUUUUGGAGAAUGCCAUACUUCUGACAUGGAUAGUCCAAAAA